UGGGGCGUCGCCAAGCGGUAAGGCAGCGGACUUUGACUCCGCCAUUCGUUGGUUCGAGUCCAACCGUCCCAGCCA
RNAcentral lists this transfer RNA (75 nucleotides) under Clostridia bacterium. Its description in RNAcentral is "tRNA-Gln". It matches the Rfam family "tRNA". From Rfam's summary of the family: Transfer RNA (tRNA) molecules are approximately 80 nucleotides in length. Their secondary structure includes four short double-helical elements and three loops (D, anti-codon, and T loops). Further hydrogen bonds mediate the characteristic L-shaped molecular structure. tRNAs have two regions of fundamental functional importance: the anti-codon, which is responsible for specific mRNA codon recognition, and the 3' end, to which the tRNAs corresponding amino acid is attached (by aminoacyl-tRNA synthetases). tRNAs cope with the degeneracy of the genetic code in two manners: having more than one tRNA (with a specific anti-codon) for a particular amino acid; and 'wobble' base-pairing, i.e. permitting non-standard base-pairing at the 3rd anti-codon position. Lineage: Bacteria; Bacillati; Bacillota; Clostridia. The record is from RNAcentral.